This 275-nucleotide microRNA precursor is filed under the name Oryza rufipogon (brownbeard rice). RNAcentral describes it as "MIR821 microRNA precursor family". It matches the Rfam family "MIR821 microRNA precursor family". The record is from Rfam by way of RNAcentral. Lineage: Eukaryota; Viridiplantae; Streptophyta; Magnoliopsida; Poales; Poaceae.
GAUUUCAAUUCAAAAAGUCAUCAACAACAAAGUUAAAUAACUCAUCAAGAUCUAAAACUUUUAUUUUUGUUAUUUCUUCAUCCGACGAAAUGUUAGUAAUAUUAUUCACAAAUUUUACAUAUAUGUGUUAUAGUUUAUAAAACCAGAUAAGAGAUAUGUCAAUUUUGUAAACAAUGUUACUAUCACUUUGUCGUAUGAAGAAAUGACCAAAAUAAAAGUUUUAGAUCUUGAUGAGUUAUUCAACUUUGUUGUUGAUGACUUUUUCAGUUGAUAUC